This 1269-nucleotide long non-coding RNA is filed under the name Microcebus murinus (gray mouse lemur). Its description in RNAcentral is "lncRNA (ENSMICG00000048525.1)". Lineage: Eukaryota; Metazoa; Chordata; Mammalia; Primates; Cheirogaleidae. The record is from RNAcentral.
AUGGUGGGGCGGGGGCCCUGUGGCAAAAGGGACUACCUCCAGAAAAAUCCUUUCAUCCUCCAAAGUAAAGGUCCUCCUGUCCACGGGCCUGCCCUUGUGACUCAAGAGGAAGGAACAAAGCAUUUAACAGUCUUGUUUCUGGGCGAUGAGACUGAGUUUCCUCGCAUUUUACGCCACGCGCUUACAGCUGGCUUCCUCCAGCCCUGGAGGCAGCCGCCCUCGCCCUGGAGGAGCCUGCACCAAGGAGGGGAGGAGCUCCCGCUCGCUCCAGUGACUGCAAGUGCAGGAGUGACACAGGUUGAUCCGCCUGGAGAGCCCCAGAUCCCACGUCACACAGUGAUGGACGAUGUUCCGGGUGCUUCAGACUUCACCGGGAAAGGAUGACCUCACUCCUAGCUUGAGCUGAGGCAGAGAGUUGGAGCAGGAAGAUUGUACCCCUACUGUCCGCUUCGGGCUCUUCAAGGCUGAGAAAACGAAGUCUUAGAGAGAAUGAGUUAGACCACAGGUGUUUUAAUUAAAACAAAGUGGGUGGUUGGUUGGUUUUUUUUCCAAAGGGGCAAUUAUGUGCUGUGAGUUUGUUUCUCUUACAUUUGAUAGUUCAUCUGCUAGAUAGGUUAUUAGUAAAACCACCUUUCAAAAACCCAGCAUACUAAUCAUGGCCUUCUACCUGCCCACCAACAAACUUACUUAUAUUAAGUGAGCCAUACACAAUUAAAAACACUUUUAUCCCAACCCACGGAACAUUUGGUGCCUAUUCAGACUUAAGCUUGAGUUCUGGGGGCAGAUCCAGUGGGAAUAGUUCUGGGUCUGCUUCCUGGAGUUUUCACACAUCUUGAAUUCCCACUAGAGUGUCCACCUUGGUGUUUCCCACCUACUAAUCAAAUCUACCUUUGCUUACGGUGUUACUCCGAGAAAUAAUUUUAGUAUGAGUUCUUGAUCUCCUAUCAUCUGGGUAGUAAUGGAGGUUUUAUUAUUAUUUUUCUUGGCUCGUCAUGUUUUUGAGGUCACAGAAAUCUUUGCAUCAUCCUGUGUGGACAUUGUCUCUUGGCAACUUUUAUAAGAAACAUACUUGUUACUUUCCAUCUGCACCAGCAGGGUAGAGUUUACUUCCAAAUAUGUUUGUGUAUUUUUAUGUCAAGUCUGAAUCCUGUAGGCUGUAAAGUACCCAAACUUUUUUUUUAAAUACUGGCAAUGAUCUUUCUUUAUUUUUUCUUUAAGUAGGGAGUUCUCCCUCUUUGUACAAUUUUUUUUUAUUUCGGCAUAUUAUGG